CCUACGGGAGGCAGCAGUGGGGAAUAUUGCGCAAUGGGCGAAAGCCUGACGCAGCGACGCCGCGUGAGGGAUGAAGGUCUUCGGAUCGUAAACCUCUGUCAGCAGGGAAGAACGGUCACUGUGCUAAUCAGCAGUGAAUUGACGGUACCUGCAAAGGAAGCACCGGCUAACUCCGUGCCAGCAGCUGCGGUAAUACGGAGGGUGCGAGCGUUAAUCGGAAUUACUGGGCGUAAAGCGCUCGUAGGCGGUAUGUCAAGUCAAGGGUGAAGUCCCCGCGCUCAACGUGGGAACUGCCUUUGAAACUGGCAAACUGGAGUGUGUGAGAGGAUAGUGGAAUGCCAGGUGUAGGAGUGAAAUCCGUAGAUAUCUGGAGGAACAUCAGUGGCGAAGGCGACUAUCUGGCACAUAACUGACGCUGAGGAGCGAAAGCGUGGGUAGCAAACAGGAUUAGAUACCCUGGUAGUC
RNAcentral lists this ribosomal RNA (465 nucleotides) under uncultured bacterium. RNAcentral describes it as "partial 16S ribosomal RNA". It matches the Rfam family "Bacterial small subunit ribosomal RNA", at positions 338 to 795 of the family's 1533-position model. The record is from RNAcentral.